This 520-nucleotide ribosomal RNA is filed under the name uncultured Glomus. RNAcentral describes it as "SSU rRNA". It matches the Rfam family "Eukaryotic small subunit ribosomal RNA", at positions 569 to 1091 of the family's 1831-position model. Lineage: Eukaryota; Fungi; Glomeromycota; Glomeromycetes; Glomerales; Glomeraceae. The record is from RNAcentral.
AGCAGCCGCGGUAAUUCCAGCUCCAAUAGCGUAUAUUAAAGUUGUUGCAGUUAAAAGCUCGUAGUUGAAUUUCGGGGUUAGCAGGUCGGUCGUGCCAUCGGUAUGAACUGGUCUCGCUGAUCCCUCCCUCUUGACGAACUGUGAUGCCAUUAAUUUGGUGUCGCAGGGAAUCAGGACUGUUACUUUGAAAAAAUUAGAGUGUUUAAAGCAGGCUCACGCUUGAAUACAUUAGCAUGGAAUAAUGAAAUAGGACGUUUGAUCCUAUUUUGUUGGCUUCUAGGAUUGACGUAAUGAUUAAUAGGGAUAGUUGGGGGCAUUAGUAUUCAAUUGUCAGAGGUGAAAUUCUUGGAUUUAUUGAAGACUAACUACUGCGAAAGCAUUUGCCAAGGAUGUUUUCAUUAAUCAAGAACGAAAGUUAGGGGAUCGAAGACGAUCAGAUACCGUCGUAGUCUUAACCAUAAACUAUGCCGACUAGGGAUCGGAUGAUGUUAAUUUUAUAAUGACUCAUUCGGCACCUUAC